Molecule: ribosomal RNA, 468 nt
Filed under: uncultured bacterium
Lineage: Bacteria
Description: partial 16S ribosomal RNA
Rfam family: Bacterial small subunit ribosomal RNA
Source: RNAcentral
GACGAACGCUGGCGGCGUGCUUAACACAUGCAAGUCGAACGGAAAGGCCCUGCUUUUGUGGGGUGCUCGAGUGGCGAACGGGUGAGUAACACGUGAGUAACCUGCCCUUGACUUUGGGAUAACUUCAGGAAACUGGGGCUAAUACCGGAUAGGAGCUCCUGCUGCAUGGUGGGGGUUGGAAAGUUUCGGCGGUUGGGGAUGGACUCGCGGCUUAUCAGCUUGUUGGUGGGGUAGUGGCUUACCAAGGCUUUGACGGGUAGCCGGCCUGAGAGGGUGACCGGCCACAGUGGGACUGAGAUACGGCCCAGACUCCUACGGGAGGCAGCAGUGGGGAAUAUUGCACAAUGGGCGGAAGCCUGAUGCCGCAACGCCGCGUGCGGGAUGACGGCCUUCGGGUUGUAAACCGCUUUCGCCUGUGACGAAGCGUGAGUGACGGUAAUGGGUAAAGAAGCACCGGCUAACUACGUG